This 491-nucleotide ribosomal RNA is filed under the name uncultured bacterium. Its description in RNAcentral is "partial 16S ribosomal RNA". It matches the Rfam family "Bacterial small subunit ribosomal RNA", at positions 29 to 507 of the family's 1533-position model. The record is from RNAcentral.
GUGAACGCUGGCGGUAGGCCUAACACAUGCACGUCGAACGGCAGCACCGUAAGAGCUUGCUCUUACGGGUGGCGAGUGGCGGACGGGUGAGGAAUACAUCGGAAUCUACUUUUUCGUGGGGGAUAACGUAGGGAAACUUACGCUAAUACCGCAUACGACCUACGGGUGAAAGCAGGGGGUCUUCGGACCUUGCGCGAUUGAAUGAGCCGAUGUCGGAUUAGCUAGUUGGCGGGGUAAAGGCCCACCAAGGCGACGAUCCGUAGCUGGUCUGAGAGGAUGAUCAGCCACACUGGAACUGAGACACGGUCCAGACUCCUAAGGGAGGCAGCAGUGGGGAAGAUUGGACAAUGGGCGCAAGCCUGAUCCAGCCAUACCGCGUGGGUGAAGAAGGCCUUCGGGUUGUAAAGACCUUUUGUUGGGAAAGAAAAGCAGCAGGUUAAUACCCCGCUGUUCUGACGGUACCCAAAGAAUAAGCACCGGCUAACUUCGUG